RNAcentral lists this ribosomal RNA (1198 nucleotides) under uncultured organism. Its description in RNAcentral is "SSU rRNA". It matches the Rfam family "Bacterial small subunit ribosomal RNA", at positions 270 to 1486 of the family's 1533-position model. The record is from RNAcentral.
AAGGCGACGAUCAGUAGCCGACCUGAGAGGGUGAUCGGCCACAUUGGGACUGAGACACGGCCCAAACUCCUACGGGAGGCAGCAGUGGGGAAUAUUGCACAAUGGGCGAAAGCCUGAUGCAGCAACGCCGCGUGAAGGAUGAAGGGUUUCGGCUCGUAAACUUCUAUCAAUAGGGAAGAAACAAAUGACGGUACCUAAAUAAGAAGCCCCGGCUAACUACGUGCCAGCAGCCGCGGUAAUACGUAGGGGGCAAGCGUUAUCCGGAAUUACUGGGUGUAAAGGGAGCGUAGGCGGCAUGGUAAGCCAGAUGUGAAAGCCUUGGGCUUAACCCGAGGAUUGCAUUUGGAACUAUCAAGCUAGAGUACAGGAGAGGAAAGCGGAAUUCCUAGUGUAGCGGUGAAAUGCGUAGAUAUUAGGAAGAACACCAGUGGCGAAGGCGGCUUUCUGGACUGAAACUGACGCUGAGGCUCGAAAGCGUGGGGAGCAAACAGGAUUAGAUACCCUGGUAGUCCACGCCGUAAACGAUGAGUGCUAGGUGUCGGGGAGGAAUCCUCGGUGCCGCAGCUAACGCAAUAAGCACUCCACCUGGGGAGUACGACCGCAAGGUUGAAACUCAAAGGAAUUGACGGGGGCCCGCACAAGCGGUGGAGCAUGUGGUUUAAUUCGAAGCAACGCGAAGAACCUUACCAAGGCUUGACAUCCCGAUGACCGCUCUAGAGAUAGAGCUUCUCUUCGGAGCAUCGGUGACAGGUGGUGCAUGGUUGUCGUCAGCUCGUGUCGUGAGAUGUUGGGUUAAGUCCCGCAACGAGCGCAACCCUUAUCUUCAGUAGCCAUCAUUCAGUUGGGCACUCUGGAGAGACUGCCGUGGAUAACACGGAGGAAGGUGGGGAUGACGUCAAAUCAUCAUGCCCCUUAUGUCUUGGGCUACACACGUGCUACAAUGGCUGGUAACAAAGUGACGCAAGACGGCGACGUUAAGCAAAUCACAAAAACCCAGUCCCAGUUCGGAUUGUAGUCUGCAACUCGACUACAUGAAGCUGGAAUCGCUAGUAAUCGCGAAUCAGCAUGUCGCGGUGAAUACGUUCCCGGGCCUUGUACACACCGCCCGUCACACCAUGGGAGUUGGAAGCACCCGAAGUCGGUGACCUAACCGUAAGGAAGGAGCCGCCGAAGGUGAAGCCAGUGACUGGGGUGAAAU